Molecule: ribosomal RNA, 423 nt
Filed under: uncultured bacterium
Lineage: Bacteria
Description: bacterial SSU rRNA
Rfam family: Bacterial small subunit ribosomal RNA
Source: RNAcentral
GAAUAUUGGACAAUGGGGGGAACCCUGAUCCAGCCAUGCCGCGUGUGUGAAGAAGGCCUUUUGGUUGUAAAGCACUUUAAGCGAGGAGGAGGCUACUCGAGUUAAUACCUCGAGAUAGUGGACGUUACUCGCAGAAUAACCACCGGCUAACUCUGUCCCAGCAGCCGCGGUAAUACAGAGGGUGCAAGCGUUAACCGGAUUUACUGGGCGUAAAGCGGGCGUAGGUGGCCAAUUAAGUCAAAUGUGAAAUCCCCGAGCUUAACUUGGAAAUUGCAUUCGAUACUGGUUGGCUAGGGUAUGGGAGAGGAUGGUAGAAUUCCAGGUGUAGCGGUGAAAUGCGUAGAGAUCUGGAGGAAUACCGAUGGCGAAGGCAGCCAUCUGGCCUAAUACUGACACUGAGGUGCGAAAGCAUGGGGAGCAAAC